GUAACGUAGCUAACGCGUGAAGUUGACCGCCUGGGGAGUACGGUCGCAAGAUUAAAACUCAAAGGAAUUGACGGGGACCCGCACAAGCGGUGGAUGAUGUGGAUUAAUUCGAUGCAACGCGAAAAACCUUACCUACCCUUGACAUGCCACUAACGAAGCAGAGAUGCAUUAGGUGCCCGAAAGGGAAAGUGGACACAGGUGCUGCAUGGCUGUCGUCAGCUCGUGUCGUGAGAUGUUGGGUUAAGUCCCGCAACGAGCGCAACCCUUGUCUCUAGUUGCUACGCAAGAGCACUCUAGAGAGACUGCCGGUGACAAACCGGAGGAAGGUGGGGAUGACGUCAAGUCCUCAUGGCCCUUAUGGGUAGGGCUUCACACGUCAUACAAUGGUGCGUACAGAGGGUUGCCAACCCGCGAGGGGGAGCUAAUCCCAGAAAACGCAUCGUAGUCCCGGAUCGUAGUCUGCAACUCGACUACGUGAAGCUGGAAUCGCUAGUAAUCGCGGAUCAGCAUGCCGCGGUGAAUACGU
RNAcentral lists this ribosomal RNA (526 nucleotides) under uncultured bacterium. Its description in RNAcentral is "bacterial SSU rRNA". It matches the Rfam family "Bacterial small subunit ribosomal RNA", at positions 843 to 1371 of the family's 1533-position model. The record is from RNAcentral.